Molecule: long non-coding RNA, 391 nt
Organism: Tyto alba (common barn owl)
Lineage: Eukaryota; Metazoa; Chordata; Aves; Strigiformes; Tytonidae
Exons: 3
Source: RefSeq, a predicted model, not a curated record
GGGGGAAAUACUGUUUCUUUUUACAGUACCUGGCAAAGUGUUUCACGUUCCUCUUUGCUGAGAGAGUUCCGGUGAACAGCUCCUGGAAAUCAGAAGCACAUGGGAAGAGGGUCACGUCCCAGUGAGAGGUUUGCAGUCAGUGUCAGCUUAAUACUGGAAUCCUGCUGGAUUCGUCCUCAGAUGAAUACUGAGUGCUUUUCUGGAAAACGCUUCUCAUCCAGGGAAUGCUGUUCUCAUUGUAGAGAUCUCUAAGGUAUUUUCUCCCAAACUGCUGUGUUAUGAAAGAAGAUGAGAAAUUGGCCGAACAUAAGCAGGGAAAGAAAGAAAUGAAGUCAAUGUAAACUUGUCAGGUGGACAGUGUAAAUAAACUGACAUCACCUGUCUCCAGAAA